RNAcentral lists this ribosomal RNA (491 nucleotides) under uncultured bacterium. RNAcentral describes it as "bacterial SSU rRNA". It matches the Rfam family "Bacterial small subunit ribosomal RNA", at positions 28 to 517 of the family's 1533-position model. The record is from RNAcentral.
GAUGAACGCUAGCGGCAGGCCUAAUACAUGCAAGUCGAGGGGCAGCGCGGUAGCAAUACUGGCGGCGACCGGCGCACGGGUGCGUAACACGUAUGCAACCUACCUUCAACUGGAGGAUAGCCCGGGGAAACUCGGAUUAAUACUCCAUAACACAGGGAUCCCGCAUGGGAAUAUUGUUAAAGCUACGGCGGUUGAAGAUGGGCAUGCGUUCGAUUAGCUAGUUGGUGUAGGUAACGGCUCACCAAGGCUACGAUCGAUAGGGGGUCUGAGAGGAUGAUCCCCCACACUGGUACUGAGAUACGGACCAGACUCCUACGGGAGCAGCAGUAGGGAAUAUUGGUCAAUGGGCGCAAGCCUGAACCAGCCAUGCCGCGUGCAGGAAGAAGGCCCUCUGGGUUGUAAACUGCUUUUGAUAGGGAACAAAUGCCACUUGCGAGUGGAGCUGAGUGUACCUAUAGAAUAAGCACCGGCUAAUUCCGUGCCAGCAGCCG